RNAcentral lists this ribosomal RNA (253 nucleotides) under uncultured bacterium. RNAcentral's name for it is "partial 16S ribosomal RNA". It matches the Rfam family "Bacterial small subunit ribosomal RNA", at positions 524 to 776 of the family's 1533-position model. The record is from RNAcentral.
UACGUAGGUGGCAAGCGUUAUCCGGAUUUAUUGGGUGUAAAGGGCGUGUAGGCGGGAAUGCAAGUCAGACGUGAAAACUCAGGGCUCAACCCUGAGCCUGCAUUUGAAACUGUGUUUCUUGAGUGCUGGAGAGGCAAUCGGAAUUCCGUGUGUAGCGGUGAAAUGCGUAGAUAUACGGAGGAACACCAGUGGCGAAGGCGGAUUGCUGGACAGUAACUGACGCUGAGGCGCGAAAGCGUGGGGAGCAAACAGG